RNAcentral lists this ribosomal RNA (444 nucleotides) under uncultured bacterium. RNAcentral describes it as "bacterial SSU rRNA". It matches the Rfam family "Bacterial small subunit ribosomal RNA", at positions 39 to 481 of the family's 1533-position model. The record is from RNAcentral.
GCGGCGUGCCUAACACAUGCAAGUCGAACGGGAAGCUAUAGCGGAAGUUUUCGGAUGGAAGCAAUAGCUUCUAGUGGCGGACGGGUGAGUAACGCGUGGGCAACCAACCCUGUACAGGGGGAUAACACCGGGAAACCGGUGCUAAUACCGCAUAAAGCCGGUAAAGCGCAUGCUUUAUUGGUGAAAACCGAGGUGGUACAGGACGGGCCCGCGUCCCAUUAGCUAGUUGGUGAGAUAACAGCCCACCAAGGCGACGAUGGGUAGCCGACCUGAGAGGGUGACCGGCCACACUGGGACUGAGACACGGCCCAGACUCCUACGGGAGGCAGCAGUGGGGAAUAUUGCGCAAUGGGGGAAACCCUGACGCAGCGACGCCGCGUGAGCGAAGAAAGCCUUCGGGUCGUAAAGCUCUGUCUUGGGGGACGAAAAAGAUGACGGUACCCC